RNAcentral lists this small RNA (264 nucleotides) under Bos taurus (domestic cattle). Lineage: Eukaryota; Metazoa; Chordata; Mammalia; Artiodactyla; Bovidae. The record is from RNAcentral.
CUUUUUAAUAAUAUAUUUUAGAAAAUAACCAUAGAUGAAUAGCUCUAUGUAUGGUUAAAAAGAUACAGGAAUAUGUACAGUUACAACAAUAAGGCCAUUUGAGUCAACAUGCAAGGUCUGAGAGCUGAUCAUACUAAAUGAAGUGAGGCACACAGGGAAACAUAUAUACCAAAUAAUAUCAUAAUAUCCAAAUGUGGAAUCUAAGAUAUGACACAAAUGAACAUAUGUAUGAAUAAUGCAAUAAAUGAAAUUAAAAACACUCUG